Malania oleifera is the source of this 91-nucleotide small nucleolar RNA. RefSeq annotates it as small nucleolar RNA snoR114. The record is from RefSeq and is a predicted model, not a curated record. NCBI's taxonomy places the organism in Eukaryota, Viridiplantae, Streptophyta, Magnoliopsida, Santalales, Ximeniaceae. The transcript has a single exon.
GAGCGGUGACGACUACCGCGCCAAUUGUGAUGAUGGGUCUUAUCACACACCGUCUGAUCUUCAUCGGACGAUAGCAGGUGCUUCCGAGCUC